GUCUAGCGGCGGACGGGUGAGUAAUGCCUAGGAAAUUGCCCUGAUGUGGGGGAUAACCAUUGGAAACGAUGGCUAAUACCGCAUGAUGCCUACGGGCCAAAGAGGGGGACCUUCGGGCCUCUCGCGUCAGGAUAUGCCUAGGUGGGAUUAGCUAGUUGGUGAGGUAAGGGCUCACCAAGGCGACGAUCCCUAGCUGGUCUGAGAGGAUGAUCAGCCACACUGGAACUGAGACACGGUCCAGACUCCUACGGGAGGCAGCAGUGGGGAAUAUUGCACAAUGGGCGCAAGCCUGAUGCAGCCAUGCCGCGUGUGUGAAGAAGGCCUUCGGGUUGUAAAGCACUUUCAGUCGUGAGGAAGGUAGUGUAGUUAAUAGCUGCAUUAUUUGACGUUAGCGACAGAAGAAGCACCGGCUAACUCCGUGCCAGCAGCCGCGGUAAUACGGAGGGUGCGAGCGUUAAUCGGAAUUACUGGGCGUAAAGCGCAUGCAGGUGGUUUGUUAAGUCAGAUGUGAAAGCCCGGGGCUCAACCUCGGAAUAGCAUUUGAAACUGGCAGACUAGAGUACUGUAGAGGGGGGUAGAAUUUCAGGUGUAGCGGUGAAAUGCGUAGAGAUCUGAAGGAAUACCGGUGGCGAAGGCGGCCCCCUGGACAGAUACUGACACUCAGAUGCGAAAGCGUGGGGAGCAAACAGGAUUAGAUACCCUGGUAGUCCACGCCGUAAACGAUGUCUACUUGGAGGUUGUGGCCUUGAGCCGUGGCUUUCGGAGCUAACGCGUUAAGUAGACCGCCUGGGGAGUACGGUCGCAAGAUUAAAACUCAAAUGAAUUGACGGGGGCCCGCACAAGCGGUGGAGCAUGUGGUUUAAUUCGAUGCAACGCGAAGAACCUUACCUACUCUUGACAUCCAGAGAACUUUCCAGAGAUGGAUUGGUGCCUUCGGGAACUCUGAGACAGGUGCUGCAUGGCUGUCGUCAGCUCGUGUUGUGAAAUGUUGGGUUAAGUCCCGCAACGAGCGCAACCCUUAUCCUUGUUUGCCAGCGAGUAAUGUCGGGAACUCCAGGGAGACUGCCGGUGAUAAACCGGAGGAAGGUGGGGACGACGUCAAGUCAUCAUGGCCCUUACGAGUAGGGCUACACACGUGCUACAAUGGCGCAUACAGAGGGCGGCCAACUUGCGAAAGUGAGCGAAUCCCAAAAAGUGCGUCGUAGUCCGGAUUGGAGUCUGCAACUCGACUCCAUGAAGUCGGAAUCGCUAGUAUCGUGGAUCAGAAUGCCACGGUGAAUACGUUCCCGGGCCUUGUACACCCGCCGUCACACCAUGGGAGUGGGCUGCA
Molecule: ribosomal RNA, 1330 nt
Filed under: Vibrio alginolyticus
Lineage: Bacteria; Pseudomonadati; Pseudomonadota; Gammaproteobacteria; Vibrionales; Vibrionaceae
Description: 16S ribosomal RNA
Rfam family: Bacterial small subunit ribosomal RNA
Source: RNAcentral